CAGUCGCCGCGGUAAGACAGAAGAUGCAAGCGUUAUCCGGAAUGAUUGGGCGUAAAGCGUCUGUAGGUGGCUUUUCAAGUCCACCGUCAAAUCCCAGGGCUCAACCCUGGACAGGCGGUGGAAACUACCAAGCUAGAGUACGGUUGGGGCAGAGGGAAUUUCCGGUGGAGCGGUGAAAUGCGUUGAGAUCGGAAAGAACACCAGUGGCGAAGGCGGCUUACUGGCUCGAAACUGACGCUGAGGCACAAAAGCGUGGGGAGCAAACAGGAUUAGAUACCCGUGUAGUCCCUGUCUCUUAUAC
Molecule: ribosomal RNA, 301 nt
Filed under: uncultured bacterium
Lineage: Bacteria
Description: partial 16S ribosomal RNA
Rfam family: Bacterial small subunit ribosomal RNA
Source: RNAcentral